GUUUACGGCCAUGUCACCUUGAACAAGCCCGAUGUCUGAUCUUGGAAGCUAAGUGGGGUGGGGCCUGGGUAGUACUUGGCUGGGAGACCACCUAGGAAGACUAGGUGCUGAAGGCA
RNAcentral lists this ribosomal RNA (116 nucleotides) under Pteropus alecto (black flying fox). Lineage: Eukaryota; Metazoa; Chordata; Mammalia; Chiroptera; Pteropodidae. The record is from RNAcentral.